This 560-nucleotide ribosomal RNA is filed under the name uncultured bacterium. RNAcentral describes it as "partial 16S ribosomal RNA". It matches the Rfam family "Bacterial small subunit ribosomal RNA", at positions 355 to 932 of the family's 1533-position model. The record is from RNAcentral.
UGGGGAAUAUUGCACAAUGGGCGAAAGCCUGAUGCAGCAACGCCGCGUGAGGGACGACGGCCUUCGGGUUGUAAACCUCUUUAGCAAGGAAGAAGCGAAAGUGACGGUACUUGCAGAAAAAGCGCCGGCUAACUACGUGCCAGCAGCCGCGGUAAUACGUAGGGCGCAAGCGUUAUCCGGAAUUAUUGGGCGUAAAGAGCUCGUAGGCGGUUUGUCGCGUCUGCUGUGAAAACCCGAGGCUCAACCUCGGGCCUGCAGUGGGUACGGGCAGACUAGAGUGCGGUAGGGGAGAUUGGAACUCCUGGUGUAGCGGUGGAAUGCGCAGAUAUCAGGAAGAACACCGAUGGCGAAGGCAGAUCUCUGGGCCGUAACUGACGCUGAGGAGCGAAAGGGUGGGGAGCAAACAGGCUUAGAUACCCUGGUAGUCCACCCCGUAACGUUGGGAACUAGUUGUGGGGUCCAUUCCACGGAUUCCGUGACGCAGCUAACGCAUUAAGUUCCCCGCCUGGGGAGUACGGCCGCAAGGCUAAAACUCAAAGGAAUUGACGGGGUCAUAGCUG